RNAcentral lists this ribosomal RNA (497 nucleotides) under uncultured bacterium. Its description in RNAcentral is "partial 16S ribosomal RNA". It matches the Rfam family "Bacterial small subunit ribosomal RNA", at positions 28 to 507 of the family's 1533-position model. The record is from RNAcentral.
GAUGAACGCUGGCGGCGUGCCUAAUACAUGCAAGUCGAGCGAACGGACGAGAAGCUUGCUUCUCUGAUGUUAGCGGCGGACGGGUGAGUAACACGUGGAUAACCUACCUAUAAGACUGGGAUAACUUCGGGAAACCGUAGCUAAUACCGUAUAAUAUUUUGAACCGCAUGGUUCAAAAGUGAAAGACGGUCUUUCUGUCACUUAUAGAUGGAUCCGCGCUGCAUUAGCUAGUUGGUAAGGUAACGGCUUACCAAGGCAACGAUGCAUAGCCGACCUGAGAGGGUGAUCGGCCACACUGGAACUGAGACACGGUCCAGACUCCUACGGGAGGCAGCAGUAGGGAAUCUUACGCAAUGGGCGAAAGCCUGACGGAGCAACGCCGCGUGAGUGAUGAAGGUCUUCGGAUCGUAAAACUCUGUUAUUAGGGAAGAACAUAUGUGUAAGUAACUGUGCACAUCUUGACGGUACCUAAUCAGAAAGCCACGGCUAACUACGUG